This 347-nucleotide long non-coding RNA is filed under the name Penaeus monodon (black tiger shrimp). RNAcentral's name for it is "uncharacterized LOC119592154". Lineage: Eukaryota; Metazoa; Arthropoda; Malacostraca; Decapoda; Penaeidae. The record is from RNAcentral.
AAGGAACUAUGGAGGAAGGGGCCCCAUACUGCAAUCGCUCUGCAACACUUCGACACUCUCUCGUCGCACCAUGAAGCUGAUUUCGCUGUUGAUGGCCCUGGUUGUGGCCCUGUCUGGCCUCCUGGGUUCAACUCGUGCCAUGCCUGGCCCCUCCCCUGUGGCUGACCCCGUGGCUGAGCCUGACCCCGUGGCUGACCCCUGGUUCUUCAAACGCAAGCACUACUACCCCCGCCGUAACUACUACCCCCGCUACCACCACUACCAUCACUGGUGAACAUGAAUAAACGUUUGUCAUUAGCAAAUAAACGUUUAUUCCGACAGUGAAUAGCAAUGAACUUGAAUGUCAA